UAGUCUCAGUUCGGACUGUGGGCUGCAACCCGCCCACACGAAGUCGGAGUUGCUAGUAAUCCCGAAUCAGCAUGUCGGGGUGAAUGCGUUCCCGGGUCUUGUACACACCGCCCGUCACGCCAUGGGAGUCGGAAGUGCCCAAAGUCGGUGACCUAACCGCAAGGAAGGAGCCGCCUAAGGUAAUGCCGAUGACUGGGGUGAAGUCGUAACAAGGUAUC
RNAcentral lists this ribosomal RNA (218 nucleotides) under uncultured bacterium. RNAcentral's name for it is "partial 16S ribosomal RNA". It matches the Rfam family "Bacterial small subunit ribosomal RNA", at positions 1283 to 1500 of the family's 1533-position model. The record is from RNAcentral.